AGCUAGUUGGUGAGGUAACGGCCCACCAAGGCGACGAUCGGUAGCCGGACUGAGAGGUUGAACGGCCACAUUGGGACUGAGACACGGCCCAGACUCCUACGGGAGGCAGCAGUGGGGAAUAUUGCACAAUGGGGGAAACCCUGAUGCAGCGACGCCGCGUGGAGGAAGAAGGUCUUCGGAUUGUAAACUCCUGUUGUUGAGGAAGAUAAUGACGGUACUCAACAAGGAAGUGACGGCUAACUACGUGCCAGCAGCCGCGGUAAAACGUAGGUCACAAGCGUUGUCCGGAAUUACUGGGUGUAAAGGGAGCGCAGGCGGGAAGACAAGUUGGAAGUGAAAUCCAUGGGCUCAACCCAUGAACUGCUUUCAAAACUGUUUUUCUUGAGUAGUGCAGAGGUAGGCGGAAUUCCCGGUGUAGCGGUGGAAUGCGUAGAUAUCGGGAGGAACACCAGUGGCGAAGGCGGCCUACUGGGCACCAACUGACGCUGAGGCUCGAAAGUGUGGGUAGCAAACAGGAUUAGAUACCCUGGUAGUCCACACCGUAAACGAUGAUUACUAGGUGUUGGAGGAUUGACCCCUUCAGUGCCGCAGUUAACACAAUAAGUAAUCCACCUGGGGAGUACGACCGCAAGGUUGAAACUCAAAGGAAUUGACGGGGGCCCGCACAAGCAGUGGAGUAUGUGGUUUAAUUCGACGCAACGCGAAGAACCUUACCAAGUCUUGACAUCCUGCGACGGACAUAGAAAUAUGUUUUUCCUUCGGGACGCAGAGACAGGCGGUGCAUGGUUGUCGUCAGCUCGUGUCGUGAGAUGUUGGGUUAAGUCCCGCAACGAGCGCAACCCUUAUGGUCAGUUACUACGCAAGAGGACUCUGGCCAGACUGCCGUUGACAAAACGGAGGAAGGUGGGGAUGACGUCAAAUCAUCAUGCCCUUUAUGACUUGGGCUACACACGUACUACAAUGGCGUUAAACAAAGAGAAGCAAGACCGCGAGGUGGAGCAAAACUCAGAAACAACGUCCCAGUUCGGACUGCAGGCUGCAACUCGCCUGCACGAAGUCGGAAUUGCUAGUAAUCGUGGAUCAGCAUGCCACGGUGAAUACGUUCCCGGGCCUUGUACACACCGCCCGUCACACCAUGAGAGCCGGGGGGACCCGAAGUCGGUAGUCUAACCGCAAGGAGGACGCCGCCGAAGGUAAAACUGGUGAUUGGGGUGAAGUCGUAACAAGGUAGCCGUAGGAGAACCUGCGGCUG
RNAcentral lists this ribosomal RNA (1252 nucleotides) under metagenome. RNAcentral's name for it is "bacterial SSU rRNA". It matches the Rfam family "Bacterial small subunit ribosomal RNA", at positions 243 to 1520 of the family's 1533-position model. The record is from RNAcentral.